UGGCUCAGUAGGUAGAGCAUGAGACUCUUAAUCUCAGGGUUGUGAGUUCAAGCCCCAC
This 58-nucleotide transfer RNA is filed under the name Ailuropoda melanoleuca (giant panda). It matches the Rfam family "tRNA", at positions 8 to 63 of the family's 71-position model. From Rfam's summary of the family: Transfer RNA (tRNA) molecules are approximately 80 nucleotides in length. The record is from Rfam by way of RNAcentral. Lineage: Eukaryota; Metazoa; Chordata; Mammalia; Carnivora; Ursidae.